AAAUAUAAAAAAUCAAAAUAUAAAUACAAGAAACCAAGAAAAAGAUAUUAUGUAAAAAAUUAUAAAUACAAAAGACCAUAUAGAAAAAAGAAAUCUAUAAAAGAAUGUACUUGUUAUAAUUGUGAAAAAUUAGGACAUUUAGCUAGAGAUUGUAAAUUACCUAAAAAUCCAAAAAAUAAACAAAUAUCAAAAAUAAAAAUNN
Molecule: long non-coding RNA, 202 nt
Filed under: Capsicum annuum
Lineage: Eukaryota; Viridiplantae; Streptophyta; Magnoliopsida; Solanales; Solanaceae
Description: long non-coding RNA (CANN_LNC008537)
Source: RNAcentral